This 615-nucleotide ribosomal RNA is filed under the name uncultured bacterium. RNAcentral describes it as "bacterial SSU rRNA". It matches the Rfam family "Bacterial small subunit ribosomal RNA", at positions 159 to 803 of the family's 1533-position model. The record is from RNAcentral.
ACAUAUAAGAGCGGAUACUUCAUGAUACAGUGUAUAAAACUCAGGAAGUGUGAGAUGGUUGCGCGUCUGAUUAGGUAGUUGGAAAGGUAACGGCCCACCAAGGCGAAGAUCAGUAGUCGACCUGAGAGGGUGACCGUCCACAUUGGGACUGAGACACGGCCCAAACUCCUACGGGAGGCAGCAGUGGGGAAUAUUGCACAAUGGGCGAAAGCCUGAUGCAGCAACGCCGCGUGAGUGAAGAAGUAUCUCGGUAUGUAAAGCUCUAUCAGCAGGGAAGAAAAUGACGGUACCUGACUAAGAAGCCCCGGCUAACUACGUGCCAGCAGCCGCGGUAAUACGUAGGGGGCAAGCGUUAUCCGGAUUUACUGGGUGUAAAGGGAGCGCAGACGGCACUGCAAGUCUGAAGUGAAAGCCCGGGGCUCAACCCCGGGACUGCUUUGGAAACUGUAGAGCUAGAGUGCUGGAGAGGCAAGCGGAAUUCCUAGUGUAGCGGUGAAAUGCGUAGAUAUUAGGAAGAACACCAGUGGCGAAGGCGGCUUGCUGGACAGUAACUGACGUUCAGGCUCGAAAGCGUGGGGAGCAAACAGGAUUAGAUACCCUGGUAGUCCACGCCGU